This 358-nucleotide transfer-messenger RNA is filed under the name Spongiibacteraceae. Its description in RNAcentral is "Litorivivens sp002710725 Standard tmRNA". It matches the Rfam family "transfer-messenger RNA". From Rfam's summary of the family: Bacterial tmRNA, also known as 10Sa RNA or SsrA, is named for its dual tRNA and mRNA-like properties. Its role is to liberate the mRNA from a stalled ribosome. Lineage: Bacteria; Pseudomonadati; Pseudomonadota; Gammaproteobacteria; Cellvibrionales. RNAcentral also lists the same sequence under 2 other names. The record is from RNAcentral.
GGGGCCGAUUUGGAUUCGACGCCGGUAACAAAACCGAAGAGUGCAUGCCGUGAUGGCAGCGAAUCACGUUAAUCAAAAGCUGUAAUCUUAUAGUUGCCAACGACGACAACUACGCUCUAGCGGCAUAAACCCCGUUAGCGGUCAUUAGCAAGGUGCCCAUACCGCGCUACUGACUGUCAUACAGAAUGGGAUCGCAGCAAAGUGUGCCUGUCACGGCGCUGUUAAACUCUAAGCAGGCUCGCCAAUCACGUCCUGACCGUUGGGCUGUGAGCGGCUAAAUCAAUAAACGGAAACUAAGCAUGUAGAGCUCUCGGCAGAGUGCUGGCGGACGGGGGUUCAAAUCCCCCCGGCUCCACCA